AUAUUCGCUUGGGCAGUAUAUAUGCUAAAAACUGGAACGAUGCAGAGGAUAUUAGCAUGGCUCCUGCGCAAGGAGCAUGCAAAAUCAUAGAAAAAAGGCUACUAAUC
Molecule: small nuclear RNA, 107 nt
Organism: Schistocerca nitens (vagrant locust)
Lineage: Eukaryota; Metazoa; Arthropoda; Insecta; Orthoptera; Acrididae
Source: RefSeq, a predicted model, not a curated record